AGGGCACCACCGGGAGUGGAGCCUGCGGCUUAAUUUGACUCAACACGGGGAAACUUACCCGGCCUGGACACUGGAAGGAUUGACAGAUUGAGAGCUCUUUCUUGAUUCAGUGGGUGGUGGUGCAUGGCCGUUCUUAGUUGGUGGAGCGAUUUGUCUGGUUAAUUCCGAUAACGAACGAGACUCUAGCCUAUUAAAUAGGCUCUCGGCUUUUAAACGCCGGGAGGACUUCUUAGAGGGACAGGUGGCGGUUCAGCCGCACGAAAGAGAGCAAUAACAGGUCUGUGAUGCCCUUUGUUGUCCGGGGCCGCACGCGCGCUACACUGAAGAGAUCAGCGUGCUUUACGUUCCUGCUCCGACCGGAGUGGGGAACCCAGUGAACCUUCUUCGUGAUUGGGAUAGAAGAUUGUAAUUAUUCUUCUUGAACGAGGAAUUCCCAGUAAAUGCGAGUCAUAAGCUCGCGUUGAUUACGUCCCUGCCGUGGCAUGCAAGGCCGCCCCGUCGCUACUACCGAUUGAACGG
RNAcentral lists this ribosomal RNA (519 nucleotides) under uncultured eukaryote. RNAcentral's name for it is "SSU rRNA". It matches the Rfam family "Eukaryotic small subunit ribosomal RNA", at positions 1161 to 1696 of the family's 1831-position model. The record is from RNAcentral.